CAACCCUCAAGUCCCUCCUUUCGGGCGGACUUGGUGUUGGGGAUCGGCCCCGCAUGUCGGCGGUCGGCCCCGAAAUAUAGUGGCGGUCAUGCCGCGGCUUCCUCUGCGUAGUAAAUAACCUCGCACCGGGACGCGGCGCGGCCACGCCGUAAAGAAAACGAACUUUCACAA
Molecule: unclassified non-coding RNA, 171 nt
Filed under: uncultured Sordariomycetes
Lineage: Eukaryota; Fungi; Ascomycota; Sordariomycetes
Description: sequence contains ITS2
Source: RNAcentral